CGGCAACAGCUCAAAUUUGAAAUCUGGCCUUUGGCCCGAGUUGUAAUUUGUAGAGGAUGCUUUUGGUGCGGUGCCUUCCGAGUUCCCUGGAACGGGACGCCUUAGAGGGUGAGAGCCCCGUACGGUUGGACGCCUAGCCUCUGUAAAGCUCCUUCGAC
RNAcentral lists this ribosomal RNA (158 nucleotides) under Dactylaria sp. Its description in RNAcentral is "partial large subunit ribosomal RNA". It matches the Rfam family "Eukaryotic large subunit ribosomal RNA", at positions 99 to 261 of the family's 3401-position model. The record is from RNAcentral. Lineage: Eukaryota; Fungi; Ascomycota; Leotiomycetes; Helotiales.